Molecule: long non-coding RNA, 881 nt
Filed under: Homo sapiens (human)
Lineage: Eukaryota; Metazoa; Chordata; Mammalia; Primates; Hominidae
Description: HSALNT0379652
Source: RNAcentral
CGCAAAGCGCUCCAAAUGUCCACUUGCAGAUUCCAAAAAGUGUGUUUCCAAACUGCUCAAUCAAAAGAAAGGUUCAACUCUGUAACAUGAAGGCACACAUCUCAAAGAAGUUUCUCAGAAUUCUUCUGUCUAGUUUUUAUGUGAAGAUAUUACAUUUUCCACCAUUGCCUCAAAGCGCCAAAAAUGUCCACUUGCAGAUACUACAGAAAGAGUGUUUCAAAGUGGCUCAAUCAAAAGAAAGUUUCAACUCUAUGAGAUGAAUGCACACAUCACAUAGAAGUUUCUCAGAAUGCUUCUGUCUAGUUAUUAUGUGAAGAUAUUUCGUUUUCCACCAUAGGCAUCAAAGCGCGCCAAAUGUCCACUUGCAGAUUCUACAAAAGGAGUGUUUCGAAACCGUUCAAUCGAAAUUAAGGUUCCACUCUGCGAGAUGAAUGCACACAUCACAAAAACUUUGUCAGAAUGCUUCUGUCUAGUUUUGUGUGAAGAUAUUUCCCUUUCCACCACAGGCCUCAAAGCUCUCCAAAUGUCCACUUGCAGAUUCUACAAAAAGAGUGUUUCAAAACUGCUCUAUCGAAAGUUAAGUUCAACUCCGUGAGAUAAAUGGCAACUCCAUGAGAUAAAUGACAAAUAAGCUUGUCAGAAUGCUUCUGCCUAGUUUUAAUGUGAAGAUAUUUCCUUUUCCACCAUAGGCCGCAAAGCGCUCCAAAUGUCCACUUGCAGAUUCUACAAAAUGAGAGUUUUCAAAACUACUCAAUUAAAAUAAAGUUUCAGCUCUGUGAGAGGAAUGUACACGUCACAAAUCAGCUUCACAGAAUGCUUCCAUCUAGUUCUUAAAUGAAGAUAUUUCCUUUUCCACCAUACGCCAAAAAGUGCUCCAAAUG